UACGGGGGGGGCAAGCGUUGUUCGGAAUUACUGGGCGUAAAGGGCGCGUAGGCGGCCUGCUAAGUCGGACGUGAAAUCCCUCGGCUUAACCGGGGAACUGCGUCUGAUACUGGAUGGCUUGAGUUUGGGAGAGGGAUGCGGAAUUCCAGGUGUAGCGGUGAAAUGCGUAGAUAUCUGGAGGAACACCGGUGGCGAAGGCGGCAUCCUGGACCAACACUGACGCUGAUGAGCGAAAGCCAGGGGAGCAAACGGG
This 253-nucleotide ribosomal RNA is filed under the name uncultured bacterium. RNAcentral's name for it is "partial 16S ribosomal RNA". It matches the Rfam family "Bacterial small subunit ribosomal RNA", at positions 524 to 776 of the family's 1533-position model. The record is from RNAcentral.